AUCAUUAUCGAAAUAAGCAUGUAGCAGGUUGUCGCUGGCCCUCUCAAGGGGGGUCGUGCACGCUUGUUAUUUCUUCAUUUCUCCAUCUCUUUGUGCAUCCACUAGAUCUUUUUUUAUGGUCUCUGGAGAGAAAUGGGUCUCUCUGGACAAUUGAGGACUGCUUUGCGAAAUAUAUUGCGGGCUUUCCUUGCUGAUCACAAUAUAUCAUAUACUCCUGUUAAUAAUAGAGAAGGGUUUAUAAAAGAUUGUUUAUACAACUUUCAGCAACGGAUCUCUUGGCUCUCGCAUCGAUGAAGAACGCAGCGAAAUGCGAUAAGUAAUGUGAAUUGCAGAAUUCAGUGAAUCAUCGAAUCUUUGAACGCAUCUUGCGCUCCUUGGUAUUCCGAGGAGCAUGCCUGUUUGAGUGUCAUUAAUAUCUCAACCAUACUCAUGUUGAGGGUAUGGCUUGGACGUGGGGGUUACAGGCCCUUAUUUGUGGUCUGCUCCCCUGAAAUACAUGAGUGGCAAAGCCCCUCCAUUAGGUGUGAUACUUAUCUGCAUCUAUGGGGAUCUGCUGGAUCAUAUGUUGUUGUUGUUGUUCUUGACCUCAAAUCAGGUAGGACCACCCGCUGAACUUAAG
RNAcentral lists this ribosomal RNA (619 nucleotides) under uncultured Inocybe. RNAcentral's name for it is "eukaryotic LSU rRNA". The stretch from base 256 to 409 matches the Rfam family "5.8S ribosomal RNA". Lineage: Eukaryota; Fungi; Basidiomycota; Agaricomycetes; Agaricales; Cortinariaceae. The record is from RNAcentral.